This 230-nucleotide long non-coding RNA is filed under the name Lathyrus oleraceus (garden pea). RNAcentral's name for it is "Pisum sativum (pea) long non-coding RNA (PSAT_LNC011351)". The record is from RNAcentral. Lineage: Eukaryota; Viridiplantae; Streptophyta; Magnoliopsida; Fabales; Fabaceae.
GACCAAUUUAUGAUGAAGCAAAAAUGUAGGCUGAAAAAGUUAACAAAAGAAAAUGAUGAAUCAAACAUGGAGGUUAAAAAACUAAGACUCACAAAUCAGGAAUAUAAACAAGAGUUGUUGGAACUAGAAAUGGCUAUGAAGAACAUGAUAAAGUGGAAUUUUUUUGAAGAUUAUGUUUUUUUUCUUAUUUUCACUGUAUUAAUAUUCAUGAUGUUUUAGUUUUAGAAGAU